This 484-nucleotide ribosomal RNA is filed under the name uncultured bacterium. RNAcentral describes it as "partial 16S ribosomal RNA". It matches the Rfam family "Bacterial small subunit ribosomal RNA", at positions 28 to 507 of the family's 1533-position model. The record is from RNAcentral.
AUUGAACGCUGGCGGCAUGCUUUACACAUGCAAGUCGAACGGCAGCGCGGGCUUCGGCCUGGCGGCGAGUGGCGAACGGGUGAGUAAUGCAUCGGAACGUGCCCAGUAGUGGGGGAUAGCCCGGCGAAAGCCGGAUUAAUACCGCAUACGACCUGAGGGUGAAAGCGGGGGACCGAAAGGCCUCGUGCUAUUGGAGCGGCCGAUGUCGGAUUAGCUAGUUGGUGGGGUAAAGGCUUACCAAGGCGACGAUCCGUAGCUGGUCUGAGAGGACGACCAGCCACACUGGGACUGAGACGCGGCCCAGACUCCUACGGGAGGCAGCAGUGGGGAAUUUUGGACAAUGGGGGCAACCCUGAUCCAGCCAUGCCGCGUGCGGGAAGAAGGCCUUCGGGUUGUAAACCGCUUUUGUUCGGGAAGAAAUCCUCUGGGCUAAUACCCCGGGGGGAUGACGGUACCGGAAGAAUAAGCACCGGCUAACUACGUG